RNAcentral lists this ribosomal RNA (497 nucleotides) under uncultured bacterium. Its description in RNAcentral is "partial 16S ribosomal RNA". It matches the Rfam family "Bacterial small subunit ribosomal RNA", at positions 28 to 507 of the family's 1533-position model. The record is from RNAcentral.
GAUGAACGCUGGCGGCGUGCCUAAUACAUGCAAGUCGAGCGAACGGACGAGAAGCUUGCUUCUCUGAUGUUAGCAGCGGACGGGUGAGUAACACGUGGAUAACCUACCUAUAAGACUGGGAUAACUUCGGGAAACCGGAGCUAAUACCGGAUAAUAUUUUGAACCGCAUGGUUCAAAAGUGAAAGACGGUCUUGCUGUCACUUAUAGAUGGAUCCGCGCUGCAUUAGCUAGUUGGUAAGGUAACGGCUUACCAAUGCAACGAUGCAUAGCCGACCUGAGAGGGUGAUCGGCCACACUGGAACUGAGACACGGUCCAGACUCCUACGGGAGGCAGCAGUAGGGAAUCUUCCGCAAUGGGCGAAAGCCUGACGGAGCAACGCCGCGUGAGUGAUGAAGGUCUUCGGAUCGUAAAACUCUGUUAUUAGGGAAGAACAUAUGUGUAAGUAACUGUGCACAUCUUGACGGUACCUAAUCAGAAAGCCACGGCUAACUACGUG